ACGGGUGAGUAACGCGUGGGAACGUGCCCUUUGCUACGGAAUAGCCCUGGGAAACUGGGAGUAAUACCGUAUGUGCCCUUUGGGGGAAAGAUUUAUCGGCAAAGGAUCGGCCCGCGUUGGAUUAGGUAGUUGGUGGGGUAAUGGCCUACCAAGUCGACGAUCCAUAGCUGGUUUGAGAGGAUGAUCAGCCACACUGGGACUGAGACACGGCCCAGACUCCUACGGGAGGCAGCAGUGGGGAAUCUUAGACAAUGGGGGAAACCCUGAUCUAGCCAUGCCGCGUGAGCGAUGAAGGCCUUAGGGUUGUAAAGCUCUUUCAGUGGGGAAGAUAAUGACGGUACCCACAGAAGAAGCCCCGGCUAACUCCGUGCCAGCAGCCGCGGUAAUACGGAGGGGGCUAGCGUUGUUCGGAAUUACUGGGCGUAAAGCGCACGUAGGCGGAUCAGAAAGUCAGAGGUGAAAUCCCAGGGGUCAACCUUGGAACUGCCUUUGAAACUCCUGAUCUUGAGGUCGAGAGAGGUGAGUGGAAUUCCGAGU
This 537-nucleotide ribosomal RNA is filed under the name uncultured bacterium. RNAcentral describes it as "bacterial SSU rRNA". It matches the Rfam family "Bacterial small subunit ribosomal RNA", at positions 102 to 674 of the family's 1533-position model. The record is from RNAcentral.